UCUGAAUGUUGACCUCGGAUCAGGUAGGAAUACCCGCUGAACUUAAGCAUUCUAGACGCGGGGAAGGAAAA
RNAcentral lists this ribosomal RNA (71 nucleotides) under Fusarium verticillioides. RNAcentral's name for it is "partial 28S ribosomal RNA". Lineage: Eukaryota; Fungi; Ascomycota; Sordariomycetes; Hypocreales; Nectriaceae. The record is from RNAcentral.